This 262-nucleotide ribosomal RNA is filed under the name uncultured archaeon. Its description in RNAcentral is "partial 16S ribosomal RNA". It matches the Rfam family "Archaeal small subunit ribosomal RNA", at positions 748 to 1009 of the family's 1478-position model. The record is from RNAcentral.
CAGCCGUAAACUAUGCUCGCUAGGUGUCAGGGACGGUGCGACCGUUUCUGGUGCCGCAGGGAAGCCGUGAAGCGAGCCACCUGGGAAGUACGGCCGCAAGGCUGAAACUUAAAGGAAUUGGCGGGGGAGCACCACAACGGGUGGAGCUUGCGGUUUAAUUUGGAUUCAACGCCGGAAAUCUUACCGGGACCGACAGCAACAUGAAGGCCAAGCUGAAGACUUUGCCGGAUUAGCUGAGAGGUGGUGCAUGGCGUAGUCGUGU